Molecule: microRNA precursor, 103 nt
Filed under: Marmota monax (woodchuck)
Lineage: Eukaryota; Metazoa; Chordata; Mammalia; Rodentia; Sciuridae
Source: RNAcentral
AGUGGGAUAGCUGGGUCAAAUGGUGGUGCUAUUCCCAGUUUUCCAAGGAAUCUCCAUACUGCUUUCCAUACUGGCUGCACCAAUUGGUAGUCCCACAAGCAAU